RNAcentral lists this unclassified non-coding RNA (331 nucleotides) under soil metagenome. RNAcentral's name for it is "partial contains 5.8S ribosomal RNA, internal transcribed spacer 2, and large subunit ribosomal RNA". The stretch from base 1 to 120 matches the Rfam family "5.8S ribosomal RNA", at positions 35 to 154 of the family's 154-position model. The record is from RNAcentral.
GAUGAAGAACGCAGCGAAAUGCGAUAAGUAAUGUGAAUUGCAGAAUUCAGUGAAUCAUCGAAUCUUUGAACGCACAUUGCGCCCCCUGGUAUUCCGGGGGGCAUGCCUGUUCGAGCGUCAUUUCACCACUCAAGCCUCGCUUGGUAUUGGGCAACGCGGUCCGCCGCGUGCCUCAAAUCGACCGGCUGGGUCUUCUGUUCCCUAAGCGUUGUGGAAACUAUUCGCUAAAGGGUGUUCGGGAGGCUACGCCGUAAAACAACCCCAUUUCUAAGGUUGACCUCGGAUCAGGUAGGGAUACCCGCUGAACUUAAGCAUAUCAAUAAGCGGAGGA